AACGAACGCUGGCGGCAGGCUUAACACAUGCAAGUCGAACGCCUGGAGCAAUCCAGGAGUGGCAGACGGGUGAGUAACACGUGGGAACAUACCCUUUGGUACGGAACAACUCGGGGAAACUCGAGCUAAUACCGUAUAAGGCCGAGAGGCGAAAGAUUGAUCGCCGAAGGAUUGGCCCGCGUCCGAUUAGCUAGUUGGUGAGGUAAUGGCUCACCAAGGCGACGAUCGGUAGCUGGCUGAGAGGAUGGCCAGCCACAUUGGGACUGAGACACGGCCCAAACUCCUACGGGAGGCAGCAGUGGGGAAUAUUGGACAAUGGGCGCAAGCCUGAUCCAGCCAUGCCGCGUGAGUGAUGAAGGCCUUAGGGUUGUAAAGCUCUUUCAUCAGGGACGAUAAUGACGGUACCUGAAGAAGAAGCCCCGGCUAACUUCGUGCCA
RNAcentral lists this ribosomal RNA (437 nucleotides) under uncultured bacterium. RNAcentral describes it as "bacterial SSU rRNA". It matches the Rfam family "Bacterial small subunit ribosomal RNA", at positions 29 to 510 of the family's 1533-position model. The record is from RNAcentral.